UACGUAGGUGGCGAGCGUUGUCCGGAUUUACUGGGCGUAAAGGGCGUGCAGGCGGUUUGUUAAGUGCAGGGUGAAAGCUCCCGGCUCAACUGGGAGAGGUCCUUGCAUACUGGCGAACUCGAGGGAGGCAGAGGAAAGUGGAAUUCCCGGUGUAGUGGUGAUAUGCGUAGAUAUUGGGAAGAACACCGGUGGCGAAGGCGGCGCUCUGGACCGAGACUGACGCUGAGGCGCGAAAGCGUGGGGAGCAAACAGG
This 253-nucleotide ribosomal RNA is filed under the name uncultured bacterium. RNAcentral's name for it is "partial 16S ribosomal RNA". It matches the Rfam family "Bacterial small subunit ribosomal RNA", at positions 524 to 776 of the family's 1533-position model. The record is from RNAcentral.